AAAGUCCAGCUUGAAUCUUCUGGUGUGUGGUCUACACGGAAGUCCUCGGGUCUUGUCAAGAAGUAUUUUUCCCUGAAACACAAACAGGUGCUCCUACCUGCACAUUUCCUGGAACAGUUUGGCAUGUCCACCACACUUAGCUUUUCUUUUCCUCAGCACUUCCUGCGGAUCCGUGGUAUAGCAGUCUUCAUUUUCAUAAACUAAAGUGGAGUAAAAAAGCACCCAAGAUAUUUGCUAUGAAAUAAGUCCCAGAAAAUCAUUUCUCUUUGUGAGGUUAAUGUCCAGCCUCACAUACAAUAUUUGUUUUAUCUUUCCUAAACAGCAGGUGUUGCCAAAGCACCUGGUGGUUUUGUAUAGAUCACCCAGAUAGAUGCUGGAGGGUGUGUAAUAUACAGUAUGUUCAGUUUUUCACUAAUCUUUGUGCAACAGACCACUCUAUGUGUGGAAUUAGUGUAAUGGUCUGGGCAAGACUGUAUAGUUGCUACAGAUCUCCAGAUGUGGUUAUUAACUGCAACAUAACUUCUUGGCACAACAGUGGUCAAGUCAUGGUACUGUACUGUACUUCAAUGGCUGCUCUUCCUGCAGGCUCAUUUUGACAUGACAACCUUCCAGCAGGGCAACACAUACUCAUAUUGCUCGCGUAACAUUGUUUUUCUUUUAAGAUGCAAAUGCAAUAGUAAUGCUGUGAAUACCCUCCUCACCAGACUGGAGCCCCACUGAAUAUUUGCUGAAUGUGCUUAGUCAAAGUAUGUAAACUUGGUCUUGGAGACCAGCGAGCUAACUUCUUCAAACUCCAUGAAAGGAAUGGGAUGCAUCAGGUUUGAAGCCAUGAAUCACAGAUGUACACCUUGUAUUGCUUCCAACAGCACCACACACAUGCUACUAUCCUGUAACUUUCCUGGGUUGAUCAACAAUAUUGAUGACAGAUGUUAAUGUAAUUCAUUUACUUGUGUCUUAUCUGUUCAAUAAAAGGUCAGUGUAACUGCUUCAAAGAUGUUGUCGUUUUCCUGAUUAAACCUUUGUUAAUUGUUUGUAA
This is a non-coding RNA of Lepisosteus oculatus (spotted gar), 1036 nucleotides long. The record is from RefSeq and is a predicted model, not a curated record. NCBI's taxonomy places the organism in Eukaryota, Metazoa, Chordata, Actinopteri, Semionotiformes, Lepisosteidae.